AUAGAAAUCAAUUACUGAAAUAAAUUGCGAAAGACCAUAAAUAGCAAACUAUCUAAAUACAUCCCCGAAUAUGGUGUCACAAGUGCACAAGCUACUAGAAUAAUACAAAUAAAGGUCUGAAUAAAAUUCAAGCUAUUUGAAAGAUAAUACACAGCUGAGAUAAAAUAGAAGGUGACUUCAGAACUGCGAACGCUGUGCAAUUAUAUCUCAAGUCUCUUCUGAGUAGCUGAAUCCGAGCACGUCUAUGGUAUGCUACUGGGACCAACUCCAAAAUCUACAUAAGAAGUGCAAAGUAUAGUAUCAGUACAACCGACCCCAUGUACUAGUAAAUGCUGAGCCUAACCUCUACGAAGUAGUGACAAGUCUAUGACAAGACACGUACAUAAACAAUCUGUACAAGUAUAUACAAAUACAAAGUAACAAUUAUACAAUAAAUAACAAUUUAUAAAUUGGGAGGAAACAUGCGAAAGGGAAUGAUAUAAUAAUUUCAGUAAGAGAAGUAUCACUUAGCAGCCAAUUGAUUUAUCAACAAUAAAAUGAGCAAAUGAUAAUAUGAAAAUGGCACGGCACCACCCUUCGUGCUUUUACUCUCAUUUGGCACGGCAUCACCCUUCGUGCUUUUACACUCUCUGAAAAUGACACGGCAACACCCUUCGUGCUUUUACACUCUUUCUUACCAUGACAAUGAUAUUAUGAAUAAUUAAAAUGGCACGACAUCACCCCUUCGUGCUUUUACACUCUUUCUUAUCAUGAAAAUAAUAAUAUAAAUUUGGAAGAGUAUUUAAAUGCGGGGAUAUACAUUUAUAAAUCAAUUCAAUACCAAAAUACCGACUUCACCUUCCAAAAUAUUCAACAAUAAUUAAAUGAAUAAUAAUUUCACGAAUAAUGAUCAAAUAAUCAAUAAUAAACUUAAGCAGGAAUAUCUUAAUUAAAUAGAUAAUUAUUCACAAUAAACAAAUUUCACCCGCAUGCUUUGACUCAACCACAAGGCAUAAGUACUCGUCACUUCACAUAUACGUUAUACCCGCACAUUAAAUCAUGUAGCAAAUAGACAAUUAAGUCCUACUCCCUCAAGUCAAGGUUAACCACGACACUUACCUCGCUUUACAACCAAAUUCAAGAAUUCAAUAAACCUUUGCCUCGCGAAUUCGUGUCUGAAAUCCUCAAAUCUAGUCAUAAAUAAUUCAAUAUAUUCAAUACAAAUCGUAGAAAUUAGUUUCAUAUGAAUUUGCUAAUUUUUCGGAUUAAAAUCCGAAAUUCAUCUCAAAAAUCUUCAGUGGGGCCCACCUCUCACAUCUCAGAAAAACUUACGAAAUCUGAACACCCGUUCCGAGACGAGUCCAACCAUAUAAAAUUUACCAAUUUUCGAUGUAAAAUAGACCUUUAAAUCUUAAUUUUUUAUUUUUGGAAAGUUUUACAAAAGUUCCAAUUUCUUCUAUCUAAUCCGAAAUAAAUGAUGAAUAUUGACAUAAAUUUAUGAAAUAUAAUCACUUUCAGAUAUAGAAUACUUACCCAAGUCGAAAUCGUGAAAAAUUCCUUUGAAAUCGCCUAAUUUCGUGCUUGAAAUAUCUAAAAAUGGAAAAGAUCUCGGACUCUUCGAUUUAUACACUGCCCAGGGAUUUUCGCAUCUGCGGUCUUGCAUUUGCGGAGCAAGGCUGCCCAGCAGAGGACCGCAUCUGCGGACCUUCACGUCGCAGAUGUGAUUGCGCAUAAGCGUGAAAGAAGCCGCAGAAGCGAGACCUGCGCAUUUUGCGAUCUCUCAGCCACAGAAGCGAUCUCGCACUUGCGGCCAAAAUUGUGCAGGUGCGACACACAAGAACCAGACCUGUAAUUUUUACAAAAAUGGUCUGAAACUCGUCCGAAACUCACCCGAACCCCUUGGGACAUCGUCCAGUUAUACCGACCAGUCCCGUAACAUAACACGGACUUACUUGGGGCCUCAAAUCACAUCAAAUAACAUCAAAAUUAUAAUUCAUAUUUCGAUUCGAACUUUUGAGUUUCAAACUUUUCAAUUUACAAAACUUGUGCCGAAACACGUUAAAUGAACCCGGAAUGACUUUAAAUUUGGCACACAAGUCAUAAAUGACAUAACAGAUCUAUUUAAAUUUUCGGAAUCGAAUUCUGUCCCCGAUAUCAAAAAGUCAAAUCCGUGGUCAAACUUUUGGAAAUCUUUAGCCUUUAAAUUACUAGUUUUCGCUAAAUGGUCAUAAUUUGAGCUAAGGACCUCCAAAUCAAAUUUCGGGCAUACGCCCAAGCCCCAAAUCACGAUACCAACCUACCGCAACUAUCAAAAUACUGAUCUGGGCCAUUUGCUAAAAAUAUUGACCAAAGUUAACUUAAUUGAGUUUAAAGCUCUAUUUCACAUUUUAAUCCAUUUUUCACAUAAAAAUUUUUCGAAAAGUUAUACGGACUGUGCACGUAAGUCGAAGAAUGAUAAAUAGUACUUUUUGAGGUCUUAGAACACAGAAUUAAUUAUUUAAUUUAAAGAUGACCUUUUGGGUCAUCACAAUCACUAUGUAACAACGAGCCCUAUUUAUAAGUAUACACAAUACAUAAUCUACUCUUAUUACAUAUGGGACUAGGACUAAUUAUAUAUAUUUACAUAAUUAUCUAACAACUUCUUCAUUACUUCUAAAUCUAAAGGGGAAUAAUAUAACACACUUUACACCAACAAUGUGGCGAUCAACGAAAAAACAGUUCCAUGAAUUGUUUUCAUUAAAUUCUUUCAGCUUCUAAGCAUGGGAAUAUGAGGAACUAUAAUUCCACUAAAUAAUAUUUUAUAAUUUGUUUUACCAAAUAGCUGGCCCCAACAUGCUUGGGAUUGUGGUGUAGCAACGUUGUAUUAGUGCCAAAUACUUAAAAAUACACAACACUCAUUCUCUAGAAAGCUAAUGAGGAGAGCUGGAACUUCCCCAAAAACAUAAACACGACUGAAGCCAAAGAUACCUGUUCUGCCAAAUGUGGUAUCCAAUAACAUUCUACUUUGUGCUAUUCUUUAUAAACUAAGGGGGCUCACGAAAAUAAUACUAGUAGGUCCUACACAAAAUAGUUGGAAUAGGAUUAUUCACUCAAUAUGGCUACUAAAUUAAACACUAUUUACAAUUACAAGAUGAUUGAUCAAAUAUAAUGCUAUUACCAUGCCGUUAGACGCUUGCCACUCCUUUAGAUUAGGUGGAGCAUUUUUAUCACAGUGAGAAGAAUAUACAAAUGGAUAGAUAUUAUUAUCCUAUCCUAAAGCUCUCAAAGCACAUAGACCAAGUAACUAGAUAAAACAAGUUUUUGCUUCCCAUACUUGGAGUUUAGAAGCCAGUACUUCAGAGGUUUGAGAAUAAGCUAGAAUGUUGGUAGAAAAGUCUUCUCAAUAAGCGGAGCAAAUUGGCAUUGAUUAGUAGCACGCUCUCAAGCUUGCCAACAUAUUAUGUUUCAGAUGUAGACCAUAAUAUAGUGUCGCGAAAAAUUAAGUUUAAAAAUUGUGUGAUUUUUUAUGCAAGUUUAUUUUUAUGUUUUGUCACCAAUUUAAGCCUUUAUAUCUUUUAUAAGUGUUAAUUUUAGUUUCCAAUACCUACAUUUUACAGCCUUCUUUAAGAAUUUCAUAUUUGCAAGCAUUUUUCUGAUAAUUUCAGAAUUCUUGCAGUUCUGCAAGAAACAAAUUUUGUUUGUUUAGUAGUAUAGAAAGAGUUUUAUUAAUUUGAGGUUGCUUUUGUUGAAAUGGACUUUACUUUUUACUAAAUUUGGGGAAUACUUUUUAGAAUAGGAUUAGGUCUUUUGUGGAAAGAGGAGAAUUAAAAAGUAUAACAUGGAUACUCAAGACCAUUCACCAGUAAGACUAGGGGGAGAGGGUGAGAGACAAGAGGGUAUUCAGCAAGCGUUUGUUGGGUCAAUGGAUGAAGAGGUACGGGAUGAAGUGUUUGACUGAGGGUAUUCAAAAUAUAAAGUUGUAGAUAAACUUAAAACUACAACUUAAAAAACAAAUAAAAUCUUAUUCAAAACCAUGAGCUGGUAGAUCAGUAGAUGGAGGCUUAGGAGCAUGUAUCUCUACAUUACUCCAUAAAUAUUGCAUUUAUGACCAGUAUGGGAGAUAGAGGAGAUGAAAGAAUCCUUGACUCUUCUAUACUCCAUAUUAUAGUUGUUUAACUUUUCAUGUUGAUAGUUGUUUGGAGUUGUGGAAGAAUAUGAGCAUCAAACCCCAAAACUUAAUUCAAUGAAUAGACUGGCUCAAUAUUAACCCUUAAACAACUAAUAUUGAGGGCCAAGUGUAUGCUCUAACAUAACAUCCUCCCGCAUAUGUAACCUAGCUCUAGGGUUUACAAGUGGAUAUUUGAAGACUUGUUUUCCCCAUUUUUAAAGAAGACGGAAGGAUGGACCUAAAGUAGAGAGGGAGCAUCUGACGAGUAGGCCUAACCUGAGGAAGAGACGGUACGUUCAUCAGGCUGAAGAGUAGGCUUAGAGCAAAGAGAGUGAGUAGGUUCAAUAGGUUAAAAGAUGAGCUUGGAUCAAAGUUAGGGCUUAAUAGGCUGAAUUGAGAAAGAGAGGUAGAGAGAAGCCCAAAGCCAGCCACAGUCAAUAGAAUAGUAUAGAGAAAGGUUGAGAAAAUUAGCUUACUAAAAUUUGAAUCUAAUACCAUGUCAAAGAAUCUGCAUAUCCAAUCCCAAAACUGUGAGGCAAUGGGUUGACUUGUCCACGAUAUUAUAAACCCUUACACAACUAGUGAGAGACAAGUGUGUGCUCUAACAUGAGUGACAAUUUAAUAGCCGUGAACUUAAAGAAAGAAAGAGAAUCAUGUGGAAGUGCUUUAUGUGAAGAGAGGUAGUGGCUGCAAUGACCAUUUUCUCAUUCAUUGCGUAGUUUGUGACAAUGUUAUGGAGUUGAGACACAUUUCUUAGUUAAUAGAUAUGAAGGAAAUGAACCGUCACUGGAAUCAGGGGUCAGGAUGGAAGUUGAAUAUCUUCGACAAGAGAGGAAGAAUGAUUCGUCCUGCAUUGAGAAAUUAGAAACAACUUUACAAUACAUACUAAACAGGACUCCUUUUUUUGAUAAGUUAUAGACAUACUUCAUCAACCCAGACUUGGAUUCAUGUCUCCUUAUAAUUCAUGGAUAUCGUGGUACGAGCCUAUAGAACAGAUCCUGUUCAAGUAAGGUCAUAUAUACUAAACAGGACUCUCAUUGACACUACGAGGUUUUUGGUAUUUGGUUCAUCUUUACUCAUAUUUUUCCAAGCCCAGUAAGAUUAAGUAUCACCUCUAAUCUAAGAGAACCUCAUACAACAUCGGUUAGUAAACAUACAAAGAGGCUAUUCUAAAGAAUAUCAAUAACAAUAUCUCUUUUGAAAUAAGUGCGCAACAAGGGAAAAAAGAACUCAUAAUGACAAGUAUUUACCUUUCUGAAGACAGAAGAUUCCACACAAGCCACAUCAACACCAAGAAUAUGCCCUUCCAUACUUCACAAAAUUAUUAAAGGAGACAUAAUAUGCAUCUUAGGAUUUUUAGCAUAGUGAAAAUCGUACUGCACAGAGAGGGAUAAUUUUUUUUGUGUGUGUGUAUUAACUUUUGAAUCCUCUUAUAGUGGCAAAGGUAAUUCAAAAGUUAUUUUAGGUCACAAAGUUUGAAUUUUUUGAAUCCCGAUACUAGAAUAUCUGGCACAACCGCUGUUAAAAAAAACAUAGGCAGAUCCAACAUUAAGACAACAGAUAUAGACACACGACUGCCCUCUGCACUAAAUAUACAUACUUAUAAUUGCAAAAAAAAAGGAUACAAUCUUUAUAUUAAUCAUGCACCCAUUGUAAACAAAAAUAUAGUAGGUGAAAUGUGUCUGCGUGUGUAUUGCUGUGCACCCAUUAAAUCCACCUAAAGCUAGAUUUUACAAUAAAUAUUUGAUUUUUCAAUAAAAUCUUGAUAAAACCCCAAAAGGGUUUGUGAAGAAAUACCAUUAGAAUCAGAAAGUGGAGAACCCAAGCGACCAAGAGAAGCAACAGAACGCAAAAGCCUCCUUGAAAUGGACAAAGCCAUGCUCCAGAUUUAGCACAACAGUCUUUUAAUUGGUGUUUGAGCCUUUAGAGGAUCUCCGACCCUCCCCAUUUUUCCAUAACGGGGGCAAUUUUUGCCACAAUGGAGCUCCAAUGCUUCCCCAUUUUUGCCUCCAAAGUGGGGGAUGAGUAGUAAUCCAAAUAUGGGGUGACACUAUUCAUCUCAUCC
RNAcentral lists this long non-coding RNA (6191 nucleotides) under Nicotiana tabacum (common tobacco). Its description in RNAcentral is "long non-coding RNA (NTAB_LNC010878)". The record is from RNAcentral. Lineage: Eukaryota; Viridiplantae; Streptophyta; Magnoliopsida; Solanales; Solanaceae.